RNAcentral lists this ribosomal RNA (602 nucleotides) under Vonarxula cf. javanica ATT174. RNAcentral describes it as "LSU rRNA". It matches the Rfam family "Eukaryotic large subunit ribosomal RNA", at positions 38 to 667 of the family's 3401-position model. The record is from RNAcentral. Lineage: Eukaryota; Fungi; Basidiomycota; Microbotryomycetes; Chrysozymaceae.
GCAUAUCAAUAAGCGGAGGAAAAGAAACUAACAAGGAUUCCCCUAGUAACGGCGAGUGAAGCGGGAAGAGCUCAAAUUUGUAAUCUGGCACUUUCAGUGUCCGAGUUGUAAUCUCUAGAAGUGUUUUCCGUGCCAUACUGCAUAUAAGUCUCUUGGAACAGAGCGUCAUAGUGGUGAGAACCCCGUAUUUGAUGCAGAUGUUGGUGCUCUGUGAUACACUUUCGACGAGUCGAGUUGUUUGGGAAUGCAGCUCAAAUUGGGUGGUAAAUUCCAUCUAAAGCUAAAUAUUGGCGAGAGACCGAUAGCGAACAAGUACCGUGAGGGAAAGAUGAAAAGCACUUUGGAAAGAGAGUUAAAAGUACGUGAAAUUGUUGGAAGGGAAACGCUUGCAGUCAGACUUGCUUUCACGAGCAGGCCAGCAUCAGUUUUCGUUGGCACAAAAGGGUGGGAGGAAUGUGGCUGUCUCGGCAGUGUUAUAGCCUCUUACUGGAUGUGUCUUUGGGGACUGAGGAACGCAGGGUGCUUUUAGCGAGGUCUUCGGGCCUUUCACCCUUAGGAUGCUGGUUUAAUGGCUGUAAACGACCCGUCUUGAAACACGGACC